UAGAGUGUUGGUUAGUACAGAAUGGGAGCAACACUUUCUCUUAGCCACGGUUGAUGCCUUGAGCAGGGAGAUUUCAGACCGUACACCAUUGCUUCUAAACACUGGACAGGAAAAUCAGACCAAGAAGCAACCCUUGUUUAAAUUUGAACUGGGGUGGCUCUUAAGGGAAGAUUUCUUUGAUCUAGUAUCAGAGGUAUGGAACAAUGAAAGGAAGAGCUCCACUCCUCUGCAAAAAUGGCAAAAUAAGAUCAAGAGACUAAGACAGUUCCUGAGAGGAUGGGUAAAAAACAUGAAUGGGGCGUAUAAAAAAGAAAAAUAAAAGCUUCUUAAAAAGCAAAUGAGUUAGAUAAAAAGGCGGAAUCACAGCUAAUAAGUCAGCAAGAGAUAGAUUUAAAGCAAAGCAUCGAGGAUAGGCUGGUGCAACUUAUGAGAAAAGAAGAAAUCAAAUGAUUUCAAAGAGCAAAAAGCACUAAGUUGUUGAAGGGGGAUAGUAACAUCAAGUAUUUCCAUAUGAUAGCAAAUGGCAUGCAUCGAAAAACUAGAAUUUUCCGUCUUGAGCAGGAAGAGGGGGUUAUUGAAGGGGGUGAGAAUUUUAAAAAAUACAUAACAAAGUAUUAUAAAGGUCUAUUUGGUUCCCAAAAGAGAAACAAUUGUUCUAUGAACGAAUCCAUGACAGAGAAUAUUCCUCAAAUGUCAAGGGAGAAAAAUGAGAUAUUAACUGAAAGAUAUACGGAAAAGGAAGCUAGAGACGCCAUUUUUCAGAUGAAUCACAAUAAAGCUCCGUGACCUGAUGGAUUCCUAGUAGAGUUCUACAAGUGUUUUGGAGUCUUAUUAAGAAUGACCUAAUGGCCAUGUUUAAAGAGUUCCAUAACUGCAAGCUCCCUCUAUAUAGCUUAAAUUUUAGGAUUCUAACUUUAAUCCCAAAACUUAAGGAGGUUAAAAUGAUACAGCAAUACAGGCCAAUUUGCAUGCUAAAUGUUAGCUUCAAAAUCUUUACAAAAGUGAUAGCUAAUAGAUUGAGCAUGGUGGCCAUCGCAAAUGGCCUUUCUACCUGGAAGAUAUAUUAUGGAGGGGGUGGUCAUCUUACAUGAAACUAUCCAUGAACUGCGUAAAAACAUAGUGGAUUAUACUCAAACUAGAUUUUGAGAAAGCAUAUGAUAAAGUUAAUUGGACAUUCUUGCAAUAGGUUUUAAGAAUGAAGGUGUUUUCUUCAACGUGGUGUAAUUGGAUUGAAAUCAUAGUGAGUGGGGGAAGUGUGGGGGUUAAAGUAAAUGAUGACAUUGGACAUAAAAAAAAGGUUCGAGGCAGGGGGACCCUUUAUCUCCGGUUUUGUUUAAUGUGGUAGCAGAUAUGUUAGCUAUUCUUAUUUCAAGGGCUAGAGAUAAUGAUCAAAUUAAGAGCCUAGUGCCACAUCUAAUAGAUGGAGGAUUAUCAAUUCUCUAGUGCGCAGAUGAUACAAUACUCUUUAUGGAAAAUGAUCUAGAGCAUGCCAAAAACUUGAAGCUGGUACUAUGUACCUUUAAGAAGUUCUCAGGCCUUAAGAUUAAUUUCCAUAAGAGUGAGUUGUUAUGUUUCGGGGAGGCAAAAGAUAUAGUGGGAGACUAUGUGCAGAUUUUUGGCUACCAGGAAGGAUCUCUCCCCUUUAAAUAUCUGGGCAUCCCUAUAAACCACCAUAAAAUCUCAAAUAAAGAUUGAAAUAUGAUUGAAGAAAGAUUCCGGAAAAAAUUAGGAAGCUGGAAAAGCAAAUUGUUGUCAGUAGGAGGAAGUGCUUAUAAACUCUGUCCUCUCGAGCCUACCAAUGUUUAUGAUAUCCUUUUUUAGAAUACCUAAAGGGGUUUUUAAAAGAUUAGACUACUAUAGAUCUAGAUUCUUUUGGCAGUGUGAUGAGCAUAAGAAGUACUACAUACUAGCUAAAUGGAGCAUCCUUUGUGUACCAAAGAAUAUGGACGGCCUAGGUAUUACUAAUUUGGAAGUUCAAAAUAGAUGCCUGCUAAGCAAGUGGCUAUUUAAACUUCUGAAUGAGGAGGGAAUGUGGCAAAGUUUGCUAAGAAGCAAAUAUUUGACUAAUAAGACACUAACUCAAGUAUCAAAGAAGCCGGGUGACUCACAAUUUUGGGCUGACCUCAUGGAAAUAAAGGAUCAAUUCCUGUCAAUGGGCAAGUUUGAAGUACAUAAUGGGAAAUAAACUAGAUUUUGGGAAGAUGUAUGAGUUGGAAAUGAAACUUUGAUGAAAAGAUUCCCAUCCUUUUAUAACAUAGUUAGAAAGAAAAAUGAAAUGGUUGCCCAAGUUUGUAGCAAUAUCCCCCUGAAUGUAUCAUUUAGAAGGGCAUUGACAGGAGACAAACUGAAUAAAUGGGUGGCUGAAGUGGCAGAAUAUAGGCUAAAUGACCAAAAAAAUAUUUUCCUUUGGAAGCUAAAUAAAAAUAAGGAAUUCACAGUGAAAUCAAUGUACAAAGUGAUAAUGCAACAUGAAGGAACACCAUCUUUGUGUGCAUCCUGGAAAAUAAAAGUUCCUCUCAAGAACAAAGUGUUCAUGUGGUAUUUGAAAAAAGGUGUUAUCCUAACAAAGGAUAAUCUUGCCAAAAGAAGAUGGGAAGAAAGUACCAAGUGUUGUUUCUGUGACUCUGAGGAGACUAUACAAUAUUUGUUUUUCAACUGUCAUUUGGCAAGGUUCAUUUGGAAUGCUGUGUAUCUCUCUUUUGGAAUUCAACCGCCGACUAGUGUGUAUAAUUUGUUAGGAUCUUGGCUUAGAGGGUUCUCCUGGCAGGUUAGAAAACAAAUGCUGAUAGGCGCCUCAGCUCUUUGCUAGGCAAUCUAGUUGAAUAGAAAUGAGGUAGUCUUCAGAAGAACCAUCCCUAACUUGUUUUUGCAGGUGAUUUUCAAGGUGAUUUACUGGACAAGAACAUGAGCGAUGCUAUCUAAAGAGGAAGAGAAAAUUACUUUGAAGGAGAAUUGCCGCCGCAAGCUGGAAGCUACUAUAUUGGACUUCUUGAACAAGUAUGGAUGGAAUUUCAGGAGUAGACUUCAAGCAUAGCGUGCCCAGUCUAAUGGGGUUCUGAAUUUCGUCUCAAAGGGGUCUUUCCUGACGACUGGUUGCCGAAGGUUGCCAUCA
This 3112-nucleotide long non-coding RNA is filed under the name Setaria italica (foxtail millet). RNAcentral describes it as "long non-coding RNA (SITA_LNC002432)". The record is from RNAcentral. Lineage: Eukaryota; Viridiplantae; Streptophyta; Magnoliopsida; Poales; Poaceae.